This 73-nucleotide transfer RNA is filed under the name Paramuricea clavata. It matches the Rfam family "tRNA". Rfam says of the family: Transfer RNA (tRNA) molecules are approximately 80 nucleotides in length. Their secondary structure includes four short double-helical elements and three loops (D, anti-codon, and T loops). Lineage: Eukaryota; Metazoa; Cnidaria; Anthozoa; Malacalcyonacea; Plexauridae. The record is from Rfam by way of RNAcentral.
GCCUCUGUAGCUCAGUUGGUUAGAGCACUGCACCGGAAUCACAGGGCCGUAGGUUCAAUUCCUACCAGAGGAC